This is a non-coding RNA of Merluccius polli (Benguela hake), 66 nucleotides long. Lineage: Eukaryota; Metazoa; Chordata; Actinopteri; Gadiformes; Merlucciidae. The record is from the annotation of a GenBank genome assembly.
UAACUCAACUGGUAGAGCGUGACAUUAGCGUUGCCAAGGUUAGGGGUUCGAUUCCCUCUGCGACCA